GAGGGAGGGGGAGAGGGGGAGGGAGGGAGGGAGGGAGGGAGAGAGAGAGAGUCAAGGUUAUAUUUUAAAAAUUAAAAAAAAUUUUUGAGGGGUUCCUUUUUUUUUUUUAAAAUGAAAAACUAACUUGGGAAAUACAUUCUUUGAUGGGGCUAGCCACACAUAUGUUUUACAAUACUUGGUCUGCAAUGCUGUCUUUUGGGUCUGAGUUUCUUCUCAGGAGGGUAUCUUUGGGCCAGCAAUAACAAUCAUUGUUCAGUUAUACAAACUUUAUAAUUUCUGAAGUAAUUUCCUAUACAUCAUUUCACUUAGUCUUUACAAAAACCCUAUAGAGAAAGCAGGGUAAAGUCUGAAAUAAUAAAUAAUAAUCAGUUAAUGGAAAUAGAGUAUCUACAUCCUGGAAAUGAUGGCUAUGUUAUACACUAUGCUAGCUCUAGACAUUCUUGUAUGUGGAUGAAAUUAGCUUCAAUACAACCAUAUGAACAGAUUGGGUCCAGAGGCAGAGGGAGGCACACACAGAUCAUUUGACUUGCGUGCUUCAGAUGAGGAAACACGCAUAGAGGGUUAAGUGGCUUGCAGAAGGGCAACCACUAGGCAGGGGUAGAGGCAGAACUUGAAACUACACACACCCAACAAAUAGUUCCCAUAUGUGCCUGGCCUUGGGGUAGGGAGACAGAUGCAAGACCAGUAGGCCCUUCCUCCAAGGAGCUACCAGUCCUGCAGGAGAAAGACAUCCCUCAUUAUUCAAAUAAUACAUUUUCAAAUUACAAUAGCAAGAAGUGCCCUAGAAAAGAAAAGAGAUCUGGGGUUUCUUCCACUUGUGUCUACAGCCACAAGCCCUGGCCCCAGCUCCCUGCUCUCUCUCCUCUGAUGCAGGAUUAUACUUGCAGUCUCAGACACCCAAGCAAGGGUUAUUCUUGGGAAGGGGCAACCACACGGCUUCUAAUCCUUGGGUCUGUCAGACUCCUCUGCCUGGCUGUGAGUACUGGUGCCAGGAGAGAUUUCAUAAUUAGGCGUGGUCACUGGGGUACAUAUAGAACUAGGCAAGUAGACUAGUAAAUUACAGUGUUUAGUUCUCCAGAAAAACAAAACAAAACAGGGCAAAAUCUGCUGGCCUCGAUCUAGGUUUAUAGUUAAUAUGUUGCCCAAAUUCACAAUAAUUGGGUAAGCUACACAUUUUUGCAAGCCUUGUUUUUACUCUACCAUUUGCUAACAGUGUCCCUCUCUAAAUCAUCUUGCAGGUUGACUAGGUACUCAAACCAAAAGAGAACAUCAGCACCACCUCAGACAGUCUAUUCUGUGCAGAAAAGCCAAGCUUUCAUUUGCCAGCCCAGCCCACGAGGGGUGGAAGCACCAGGUGAAACAGCCCGGAACACUGAAGGUGACUUGUUGGUGUGUGGCUAGAGCCAGGUGCUUAACCCCUCAUGCUGUGACCCUGCGCUGCCAUCCUCCCACCCCAGAAAUCCUGCUCUGCUGUUUUGUGGGGCUCCCAGUGGGCUGAUAAAAGGCAGGGCAUGAGAAACAGGCCUGGGGCACACCCAGCAGUGCUUGCCGCACAAGAGGAACAGGGUGUUUGUAGCCCUCGUUGAGUUUGAGAACUCUAAAAGUUCUCAACUUUGUACAACAGAAAACUAAUGAGGCGCGACAACCCCCACUGCCCCACCUUGCCAACUACAAUGUGAAGGGAACGACCAUUUUCCCGACUGUCAAUAAUGUUCUGAGCCCCGUGGAAGAUGAGCUGCCCACACAGAGCCCUCGAGUGUCCUGUGAGGAAGAUAGGCAGGUGGUGGGUCAUGUGGUUUGUUCAAGGCUGAAGAACCACAUCUGAACUAGAUUCUGUCUGACUCCAGAGCCCAUCCUAUCUAUUGUGUCCCACAAGGGAACACGACAUUCAAAUUCAAGUAACAUUUGCUAAGUGCCAAAGACAUAGUACACAUCAAGCUAAAUGCCUUCUCAUUUGCCCACAAACUCUAAGAUGGUAAUGUUAUUCCUCUUUUCAUGGAUGGACUCCAAGGCUUUGAGAGGUGGGAACUUUGGUAUUUUCUGACAUCCUGAUUUUGUGACAUUCUUCUCCAGUUCCCUUGGAUUUGUAUGAAAACUCAAGUAAUGGUAGUAUCAGAUUCAAACUGGAAAAUCCAAGUACCAGUAAAAGGUUCUCUCUCUUUUUAUUUUUUAAUUUAAAAAAAAAUUUUUUUAGAGACAAAGUCUCACUCUGUUGCUCAGGCUAGAGUACACUGGUGUGAUCACAGCUCACUGCAGCCUCAACUCCUGGCCUUAAGGGAUCCUCCCACCUCAGUCUCCCAAGUAGCUGGGACUACAGGUGUGUGCCACGAUGCCCGGCUAAUGUUUUUUAUUUUUAAUUUUUUUUUAGAGACAGGAUCUCAUCAUCUUGCACACACUGGUCUCAAACUCCUGGGCUCAAGUGAUCCUCUUGCCUUGGCCUCCCAAAAUAUUGGGAUUACAGGUGUGAGCCACAGGUCCCAGCCAAAAUGGUCUCUCUUAAGAAUGGUAAGGAAAUUAGUUAUUUUUGGAGAGAUAAUAAAGAAGUCUACAUAUCUAAGGUUUACCUUUUUAUCACCACAUUUUUUCCCUCCAUUUUUAGUUCUAUGAGAUUUAACCUUUCAAAAAUUUUUAUUACAGCUUUUCUUACCAUCUUAAAAAAGUUGAACAAGAAAAGGCAUUUUCUCGUUGCCUCUGGGCCACUGAUAUGAACAUUACUGAGCGAUGACACAAUAAGGGGACUACAGGAUGUUCAGUGGUGUCUGUUCUGUAGGACGCAGGUCUGGAGGUAAGCCUGGCGUGGGUUCUUCGAGUCCCCUCUGGCGCUGUGGGUGGUUGAAUCAGUGCCCCUGCCCGCAGUGGCCACUAUACCCUUUCUUAGUUUGCUGUGUUCUUGUAAAGCAGAUGUCCUGAAAAUUGUGUGCAAAGUAUGAGUAAACAGGAUUUGCGUGGCGGGCCAGGAGCUGUCCUGGGCACAAUAUGCUGUAUUUAUUAUAUGAGUUUGGUAACAUUAGUUUUAGCUGUUCAGAAUUGAUUUUUUUAUUACUUCCAGGAUCCCAGCUACAUUCCAGAUUUUUAAGAUAGCCAAGCUCCAAACAGUUGAAGUAUCAAAUGAUAACAUUAAACACACAUGUAUUUUUAAUUAUUACAAUAGUUUUACAGGAAAACUAAAACUAUGUUAACUAUAUAAAAAAAUAAAAACUCACAAGUCUAUUACCCAUCAAAUAACUGCUAUUAAUUUUGGGUAUUUUCCUUUCAGACUUUGAUUUUAAAUAUAUGUGUUUAAUUUUUAAAGAAACCCUAUGGGCCAGGUGUGGCGGCUAACACCUGUGAUCCCAGCACUUUGGGAGGCCAAGGUGGGAGGACUGCUUGAACCCAGGAGUUUGGGACCAGCCUGGGCCACAUAGGGAGACCCUGUCUCUAUAAAAAAUUAAAAAAUUAGCUGGGUAUGGUGGUGAGCGCUUGUAGUCCCAGCAACUGUGGGCUGAGGUGGGAGGAUUGCGUGAGCCUGGGUUGCAGUGAGCUGUGAUCAUACCACUGCACUUUAGCCUGGACGACAGAGCAAGACCCUGUCUCAAAAAAAAAAAAAAAAAGGAAACAAGAAAGAAACACUAAAGCUGUGUUUCUGGUAUAUACAGAAUGCUACAUCCUGCUGUUGGAUGCUAUUAAAACCUCCUGGUAAGCAGAAUUCUAAAUGGUUGCUUCACUGAAUGGACUAUCAUAAUUUACUUAAUUAUUCCCUUACUUUUGUAGAUUUAGGAUGUUUCUGAACCUUUGCUAUUAAAAAACAAACUGCUGUGAGCAUCUCGUAUAAAAACAUAAUGCAUAGAUUUUUAAUAAAAUAAUUUUGAUUUUAUAUUUAAUGGAAGGUUUUCAGAAAGACCCUUCAUUCAUAUUUUAGUAUAAGGUAAAGAAAUAAAAGAGUAUUUUUAUCUCUACUCUUGCCUAAAGAGAGAAAGGGAGGAAUUGAAAAGGCAAAUAAUAGUUCAAAACAGAAUAUUCAGGAGGUUUCAAGAUUCUUUGAUUACAGUCUGGCUUCAUGACUAUUUCAUCUAGAUGAAGAGGUUGAAACUCAUAGAUUUACUAAUUAUAUGACCAAUUUUUAAAGGCUGUUGACAAUUUACUCAUCAUAUGCAAUUAGUACAUUAUUUAUAUUGUGAUGAAAAACUUACAGGGAGCCUCAACCCUUAGACAACCAAAAGCAAAAAUGUGUGUGUUUUGGGAGGAGUGGACAUAUUAGGAAACACAGUAGCUUUUCUUUAUUCUCUGCUCCCACCAAGGGGCCCCGUGUGUUCGGAGGCACUAGAAUUGCGGGUGCAGAGCCUGAGGUUCAAGCAACUGGACCGAGUCUACCAGUUCACUGCACACAUUCUCCUCACCAGCCAUUUCCCGUAAGUGGCUGUCUCUUCCAGCUGGGCUUAGCUCCAAACUGGAAACAUGACAUCUGUGGUUUAAUGCUGCAAUUAAAAGGAAUUUAUUAAAAAACAACAACCCAAAGAUAUCAUAAUUGCAAAUUUACUAGGCUAUGGUUUAGUGAAACACAGUGUAGCUUGUUGAAUAACUGAACCACACCAGGGACUGUUAACCUUUUGCCAUAAGUAAAAAAGUAUUUCCUGGGGUCACAAACAAUGGCACGAUGAGGGAGAAGCCAACUGGCCUGGAGUUUAGAUGUCAAGGAGGAAGUCAGUUUGGCUUCCUUGGAUCAAGUUUUCUCUGAGCUCUCUAAAUUAAGAUGAUUAAUUUGUUUCUCAUUCUGUGAGUCCUUAUUUAUUGCAAUCAACUAUCUUUUCUUAUCUCUUCAGCUCUAGAGACAGUGGCGACAAGAAGGACUGUUCAAAGACCUGGAUUCUACUCUUAGCUCUGCCACUAUGAUCCCACCUAUAUGGAGUUACAACUUAAGGUUACAUUCGUUUAUUAGUUAUAUCAGUGCUCCUCAAUCUUUUUGGCACCAGGUACCCGUUUUGUGGAAGACAAUUUUCCUAUGGAUUUGGGGGUGGGGAUAUGAAACCUCCACCUCAGAUCAUCAGGCGUUAGUUAGAUUCUCAUAAGGAGCACACAACCUAGAUCCCUCAAAUGUACAAUUCACAACAGGAUUCGUGCUCCUAUGAGAGUCUAAUACCAUGGCUGAUCUGAUGGGAGGCGGAGCUCAGGGGGUAAUGCUCGCUCACCCUCCAUCGCCUCCUGCUGUGCGGCCCGGUUCUUAACAGGCCACAGACGGGUAAAAGUCUGUGGCCCGGGGGUUGGGCACCCCUGAGUUAUAUGACUGUGGGCAUAUUUAAUGACUAUUUAUAAAAUAGAUCGACUACAGUAAGUAAUAAAUAAAAUAAUGUGCUUAAAAUCGUUGGCAGGAUGCCUGGCAUAGACACUAGCGUCAGUAGUAGUUGUAAUUGUGGUGGUUGUCAUUAUGAUUCGUUUCAGUAGGCUUCAAAUUCCAAGUAUUAUUCUCAUUUUACAGAAGGCGCAACUGAGACUCAGACAUAUUCAUGUCUUGCACAGGAACACAGGGUAAUAGGUAGAAGAAGGACUGGAAUCUAAAUCUCCUUCCCUUUACUGUUUCUCUUAUACAGCAUACUGUUUCAAGCAGGAACAAACGAAACUCCUACCACCUACCUUCCCACACCUCCACUUCUGUACAUCAGGGAGCUAGCUGCAAGAAGGAAAUAAAGAAGUACAGUGCCAGGCGUGGUGGCUUAUGUCUGUAGUCCCAGCACUUAGGGAGGCUGAGGUGGGAGGAUCACUGGAGCCCAGGAGGUUGAGCUUGCAGUGAGCUAUGAUCAUGCUACUGCAUUCCAGCUUGGAUGAAAGUAAGACUCCCCCGCCCACCAAAAAAAAAAAAAAAAAAGGCCAGGUGUGGUGGCUCAUGCCUGUAAUCCCAGCACUUUGGGAGGCCAAGGUGGGUGGAUCACCUGAGGUCAGGAGUUCGAGAUCAGCCUGGCCAACAUGGCAAAACCCCAUCUCUACUAAAAAUACAAAAAUUAGCCCGGUGUAGUGGUGGGCACCUGUAAUCCCAGCUGCACGGGAGGCUGAGGCAGGAGAGCAGGAGAAUCUCUUGAACCCAGGAGGUGGAGGUUGCGUGAACCGAGAUUGCAGUACUGCACUCCAGCCUGGGCAACAGAGUGAGACUCCGUCUCAAAAAAAAAAAA
RNAcentral lists this long non-coding RNA (6140 nucleotides) under Homo sapiens (human). RNAcentral's name for it is "HSALNT0363858". Lineage: Eukaryota; Metazoa; Chordata; Mammalia; Primates; Hominidae. The record is from RNAcentral.